Molecule: non-coding RNA, 30 nt
Filed under: Rattus norvegicus (Norway rat)
Lineage: Eukaryota; Metazoa; Chordata; Mammalia; Rodentia; Muridae
Source: RNAcentral
UGAUUGGUAAAAAGCAACCCUCUCUGCUCU